ACCUAACAUGUGAAGAAUGCUCUUCAAGAAGAUUAUAGACCUUCAGGCCAAACUGAACAACAGUAACAACAAAACACUCCUACUCAGGAUAAGCGAAGGAACUUGCUGGAAAUAAAUAGGUUGAGAGGCAAGAGUCGACUGGUGUGCUGUCACAAAGGAACAAUCCAGCAUCGUCUAACCACCCCAACGGACAGCUACAAAAAUGAGGGCUAUGUUCUUCUUUGCCUCCACAGGCAUGUAUUAAUGAGGUAUCAAAAUCGACAUGCAUAUAUAGACGAAACGGGGGGCUGGGUAAGGAUGUGAUGCCUGAUAGCUGAGGGAGGCCUCCUGUGACUUCAGCAACUUUGCGGAUUUCCUCUGAACAGACCCAUUGAUGAGUUCUGCCUUCUCCGUAAGAACUGAAGCCCACUUAACAACAGCUACAGGCAACAUUCUGUUACAAAAGGUGCAGAGCCAGCAUGACGAAGCAGAGGAAAAGGAAGCGCUCUACUAUGGAGUCAGAUCUGUUCCUCCUUAUUACAGUUUCUAUAAUAGGAGAAGUUCUGAGAAAAAGCGACUCGAGAAUAUCAGCGACAGAAAAAACCAGGAGAAAGAGGGCUUUUAUGCUGUUUCCCUUCUAAAGCCUGCAGACCCUGUUAUUUUGGGUUCUCUUAUUAUCUGGUUUUGAUUUACGAGACUUGAGUACGAAUAAAGAUGGUGUGGAUCCUU
Phacochoerus africanus (Common warthog) is the source of this 708-nucleotide long non-coding RNA. RefSeq lists it as uncharacterized. The record is from RefSeq and is a predicted model, not a curated record. The transcript has 5 exons. NCBI's taxonomy places the organism in Eukaryota, Metazoa, Chordata, Mammalia, Artiodactyla, Suidae.